Molecule: ribosomal RNA, 509 nt
Filed under: uncultured Prevotella sp.
Lineage: Bacteria; Pseudomonadati; Bacteroidota; Bacteroidia; Bacteroidales; Prevotellaceae
Description: bacterial SSU rRNA
Rfam family: Bacterial small subunit ribosomal RNA
Source: RNAcentral
AGAGUUUGAUCCUGGCUCAGGAUGAACGCUAGCUACAGGCUUGACACAUGCAAGUCGAGGGAAACGGGAGAAUAGCUUGCUAUUCUUUGUCGUCGACCGGCGCACGGGUGAGUAACGCGUAUCCAACCUUCCCAUAACUAAGGAAUACCCCGUAGAAAUGCGGCCUAAUCCCUUAUGGUCUCUUAUGCCUGUCAUGGGAAUAAGAGUAAAGAUUUAUCGGUUAUGGAUGGGGAUGCGUCUGAUUAGCUUGCUGGCGGGUAACGGCCCACCAGGGCAUCGAUCAGUAGGGGUUCUGAGAGGAAGGUCCCCCACAUUGGAACUGAGACACGGUCCAAACUCCUACGGGAGGCAGCAGUGAGGAAUAUUGGUCAAUGGGCGAGAGCCUGAACCAGCCAAGUAGCGUGCAGGACGACGGCCCUAUGGGUUGUAAACUGCUUUUAAGGUGAAUAAAGAGGGGCACGUGUGCCCUGUUGCAUGUAGCCUUGGAAUAAGGACCGGCUAAUUCCGUG